CCUACGGGCGGCAGCAGUGGGGAAUAUUGCACAAUGGGGGAAACCCUGAUGCAGCGACGCCGCGUGAGUGAGGAAGGAUUUCGGUAUGUAAAGCUCUGUCAGUAGGGAAGAAAAUGACGGUACCUGCCUAAUAAGCCCCGGCUAAUUACGUGCCAGCAGCCGCGGUAAUACGUAGGGGGCAAGCGUUAUCCGGAUUUACUGGGGGUAAAGGGAGCGUAGACGGCUAAUCAAGUCAGAAGUGAAAGCCCAGGGCUCAACUUUGGGACUGCAUUUGAAACUGAGUAGCUAGAGUGCAGGAGAGGGAAGCGGAAUUCCUAGUGUAGCGGUGAAAUGCGUAGAGAUUAGGAGGAACACCAGUGGCGAAGGCGGCUUACUGGACUGUAACUGACGUUGAGGCUCGAAAGCGUGGGGAGCAAACAGGAUUAGAUACCCCAGUAGUC
RNAcentral lists this ribosomal RNA (440 nucleotides) under uncultured bacterium. RNAcentral describes it as "partial 16S ribosomal RNA". It matches the Rfam family "Bacterial small subunit ribosomal RNA", at positions 338 to 795 of the family's 1533-position model. The record is from RNAcentral.